RNAcentral lists this ribosomal RNA (253 nucleotides) under uncultured bacterium. Its description in RNAcentral is "partial 16S ribosomal RNA". It matches the Rfam family "Bacterial small subunit ribosomal RNA", at positions 524 to 776 of the family's 1533-position model. The record is from RNAcentral.
UACGGGGGGGGCUAGCGUUGUUCGGAAUUACUGGGCGUAAAGGGCGCGUAGGCGGUCUGCUAAGUUGGAUGUGAAAACUCUGGGCUUAACCCAGAGCCUGCAUUCAAUACUGACAGGCUAGAGUUCUGGAGGGGAUAGCGGAAUUCCUGGUGUAGCGGUGAAAUGCGUAGAUAUCAGGAGGAAUACCGGAGGCGAAGGCGGCUCACUGGGGCUUUUCUGACGCUGAGGAACGAAAGCCAGGGUAGCGAACGGG